AUUACAACAGUUUCCAUUUUUUCUGCGAAACCCUAAAACGCCGACGAUGAUGUUCAUAUGAACCACCCGCUCAAUCUUGCAUACCAUCCUACUUCUUAAUUUUAUGAUGGUCAGUUGUUCCUAUUCAUUUGUUCUUAUCUUUAAUUAAGCGAUGAUUCAUGUGUUUUGGUAAGUAUCCAUCCUCAAACCCUAAAAACAUCAAGCCGCACAACACCAUCCAUAGCCUCAGCGGUUUGUUUGUUCGAUCCCCUAAUCUUUACAAUGCAUCCAUCGUUCUACCGAUUUCGUUUACAUAUUCGUGUAGAUCGUUCUUUGAUCUACGUUUUGCGUAUGGAUUUGAUGUGUUUUGAUGAAACUUUCGUCAACGAUCGUUGCGGUUAUCAGAGGUUAAGAUCUAGAUUCGCUGUUUCAGAAGGAUGAGUUAAACGCCUUAUUGUUUCGGUUAGUAUAAUCGAAAAUUAGUUGUGCGUUCGUCAGCUGAUGAUGGUGGUGUUUAGGGUUGGAGAAACGACGAUGGUGGUGAGCAGUGUGUUUCUCGGUUCAAUCAACAUGAAAUUAAAGGACGAUUCUUUAGCUGUGGAUUGGUGUGGAUUGUGACCUGUGGUUAUGGCUAGACUAUAAGGUAUUAAAAUCAUGAUAACGAUAAUGCAAGCUGGAUAUGAAACUGAUGAGCUAACAAACUAGGUAAUCUUCACAAAAUUGCUUUUUUAAUGAUUAAUGUUUUUUUGGUUUCGUCUUGAAAGUGAUCAAGUGAUAUAGAAUUACCAAAAUCAAUUGAUAUUGUAAUGGGUCUGUUUUUUUGUUCAUAUAAUAUAUGUUCUUACCAGAAAUAUAUGUUUCUUCAUAUAGCUUCUUACCGGAAUUUUGUUUCUAUAAUGACACAUAUUCUUUCUAAAAGGAAAGCUAAUUAGUUGCGAUAAAGAGGGUUUGUAUAAAAUAUUGUUUGGAUAUGCUUUCAUUGUCUGACAUUGUAGCAUUGGUUAAUCAGAUGCUAUUGUUUAAGAAAAUAUUGGACCAAAUCACUAUAAUAAAUUUAUGUAUUUAGUUUGUUUUAUCUUGCAUGUGCUAGAUUAGAUUGGUGUUGAUGUGGCUUCAAAGGUUUGUAGUUGUGAUAACAGUCUAACGUACUUUCCAGGUCUGUAAGCUCCAUUCACCGUUUUCAUGAUUCAGAUAAUAAUCGUUUUCGUAUAUUAAUAAUACUUGUGUGUUUGUUUUGUGAUCGUGUUUGUGUGGAGUAAUUUUCAUCAAUGACGAAGAUCGUUGGUACGCUCGGACCGAAAUCAAUAAAUUUAAGCAAUAAACUUUUGUAAACAAAACUUUCAAAAUUAUUUUUUAUUUAAAUAUAUCUAUUUCCAGAUCAAAGUGGCAGUGUUGAGAUGAGUCCCUUAUUAAUUUAUUCUUAAAUUAAUUGAUACAAAAGUUGAUUUACAUCUUACAUUUAGGGUUUGAAUCCUCUCAUAUUCAUUUUUACUCUUAAUGCCAACACAGUUUAUGUUGGAAGAUACUCGAUUUCCUUUUCUAGAUCUCUCACACCCACCCACUUAGGUGUUUGGCACAAUUAUGAUUUUAAUGAAGCAUUUAGUUUGACCCAUUUGGGACAAUUUUUAGUUAAUGUAUCUUUAGUUUAUCCAUUUGGCCCACUUUUUUUUGGUUAAAUGUUACUUUAAUCCUACAAAAGCAUACAAUAAUCUUAUCUACAUCUUACAGCUAUAAGGAUAGCGAUGGUAACAUUUCAGAAUUAUUUACAUCAUUGCAGUACCAUUUUUUAUUCUGUUUUGUUGACUUAAGAUUCGAGUAGAUGCAUAAAUCUGGUAAUAUAUAUAGCUUUACUUGGUGUUGUAUUUUUUUGGUCUCUAAGGCUUGUGGAUGUUUCUUGCAGUCAACAUUAACUUGGAAACAAUGGGUGCAUGGACCAGUCAAAUUGAACAAAUAAAAGUUGCUAAGGUUGGAGACUAAUCAUAAAAAAAUCAUGUUAUCAAGUUAUCAGUUAUUUACCGUUAACAUAUGUAUCAAGUAAUCAAGUUAUCAGUAAUAUAUCACUCUGUUUGUAUUUAUUUUAUUUAUAAACUUAUAAGUAAUAUAAAUCAAAAUUUCCUACCCGGGAAGUUCCCGGGUGAUAACCUAGUA
Molecule: long non-coding RNA, 2127 nt
Organism: Helianthus annuus (common sunflower)
Lineage: Eukaryota; Viridiplantae; Streptophyta; Magnoliopsida; Asterales; Asteraceae
Exons: 3
Source: RefSeq, a predicted model, not a curated record